RNAcentral lists this ribosomal RNA (475 nucleotides) under Canthigaster epilampra. RNAcentral's name for it is "partial small subunit ribosomal RNA". It matches the Rfam family "Bacterial small subunit ribosomal RNA", at positions 788 to 1491 of the family's 1533-position model. Lineage: Eukaryota; Metazoa; Chordata; Actinopteri; Tetraodontiformes; Tetraodontidae. The record is from RNAcentral.
CACUAUGCCUAGCCCUAAACAAAGAUGCCCUUAUACACUCCACAUCCGCCCGGGUACUACGAGCAUUAGCUUAAAACCCAAAGGACUUGGCGGUGCUUUAAAACCACCUAGAGGAGCCUGUUCUAGAACCGAUAACCCCCGUUAAACCUCACCCCUUCUUGUUUAACCCGCCUAUAUACCACCGUCGUCAGCCUACCCUGUGAAGGACUAAUAGUAGGCAAAGUUGGUACAACCCAAAACGUCAGGUCGAGGUGUAGCGCAUGGAGGGGGAAGAAAUGGGCUACAUUCUCUAUCUAGAGAACCACGAAUGACACAAUGAAACACAUGUCUGAAGGAGGAUUUAGCAGUAAGUUAAGAAACAGAGUGUCUUACUGAAACCGGCCAUGAAGCGCGCACACACCGCCCGUCACUCUCCCCAAACAAAACCAAACAAUAAUUAAUACAAUAUUAUACACAAAGGGGAGGCAAGUCGUAA